This 2651-nucleotide long non-coding RNA is filed under the name Homo sapiens (human). The record is from RNAcentral. Lineage: Eukaryota; Metazoa; Chordata; Mammalia; Primates; Hominidae.
GUAUUCUGCACGGACUGCUGGGCAGCACUAGCACUCUGGAGAAGGUCUGCCGCUGUCUGCACUUUCCUGGUUCUAUGCAGGCAGAUGAGUGUCACAGCUGUAACUGAGGCACAGAGCAGUACACACAGUGGAGCCGAUUUCCGCGAUGGCGAGAGGGGGCACCGGAGGUGACAACAAUAACAAGACUGUCCUUCGGACAAGUUUUAGCGCUGAAUAUCUUCAGGAAAAUGGGUUCCAUGAGAAGUGACAUCCUCCUCGAAUCAAAAGGAAGAAUGACUUGGGCAAUACCAAAUGUUGAGUUAUCAAGUAUUUCGAUACCCAUAUGCAUCAUCUGCUGUAAGUAUUCUCAGGAUGAUGGAGUGAGUGAUGGAAUAGGUUGCCAACUGUAGUUACUCCACUCAGCACAGAAUGGCUGCGGGGAAAUAUAAUCAGACAUGCCCAAAGAAGUCUGCUUAGGGUGAAACAAAUACCUUUGAGGUUUAAAUCAGAAAGGAAGGAGAGACUGUUUCUACAGGUGUCAUACAAAAAUCAAUACUGAGCCAAGGAUUAUUGGAUCCCAUAGAACCACGGAGACUUGGUAGUGAAAUUCUUCCAAAGGCAGAUGGUGUUCCUAGGUUUGGAAAUAUAAAUCCCAUGGGAAGUCAGCUGAAGACCAUUUUAUGCAUCACUCAUCCUGUUAGAGCCCUGUGCUGUUCUGUCUCUCUAUAAGACUGGCUGAAACCACCACGGUUGUUUACAAUUUAUGCUCUAACUUUGGAUCACCUAGUUAAUACUCUAACUCCGAUUAUUACCAAAGACAAUGUUCUAUAAAAGAUAUUGUCUAUUAGAAGGAUGCUUCUGCAUUAUUAAUAAAAUCACAGGGAAAAUGCAACAUUUUGGAUGUCACAUCUGAUAAGUGGGUGACUGAUCGUACCCGCCAGCUGGCUAAUGUCAUAAUUAACAAAGUUGCUACUACAUCUGCAAAGUUUAAUCGAAAAAUUUGCCAGUGAUAUGAUGGCCUUGUCACAGAGAUCACAAGGGACACGGAGUUGACUUUUGCUCAAGGUGGAACGACAGAGCUGUGUAGGCAAGAUGAGAAAUUGCGAACUUGUUCGGCCAAAGGAACGACUAUGCUCUGGAGAGUCCUGUAAUUUGCAGAAAAUGGACCAAGAUAACAUUUGAGUUCCAUGCUACCAAAAUCCUCUUGAGAAGGACAGCUAGCUACCCAGAAUAUUUAACAUUGUGACAUUGAAAUGUUGGAUGAACGAUUAAAAUGAAGAAUCUAGUCAUAGGUUGUAAGAAAUCGCUAAAUUAUUAUGUUUAAUCCAAAGAAGAGAAAGGAAAAGCUGUUUUCAUUCCCCCCAGCCUCUGAGGAGGCUAAUAAUGAAGGGGCCGGGAAGGAGGCCAGUGCUACCAGGGUUAUCUCACAACCUCAGAUGCUGGAUAAGUCGACGGAGGCAGAAUCGCUUUGGGAUGACAUUCAGAAAGCCUGGAGUGAUUACUUGCAAGAGAAAAGCCUACCUAUUCUUUCCAAGGUGCAGGAAUAUUCCCCUGACCUGCUCAUCCAGUGGUCCAGUAAUGAAUUACUGGAGACCUGCCUUAGACAAAGAAUGCACUCGGAGCCCCAACACACCUAAAGCCAUGCUUUGAAGGAUCUGCCAAGCUCACUUUUAAUCAUGAGAAAGAAAUUACCCACACGGAGUCAGCAGAAAAUGAGAAAGUAGAGCUCGUGCUGUGAAUAAUUCCAGCAAGUGCCAAGGGGCUAGUUGAGGAAUGGCUUCAUGAGAACAUGCUCUAGGGGAACUAUUAAUAGCCCACCAGUCGGGUAGGCAGCAUUCAAUCCUUCUAUGCCUUCUUUCGCCACCUGUUGAGGUCUUUCUUCUGAAACAAAGAAGAAAUAGACAAAUCAGACUUGCCCUCUUGGAAAUGUGGUCCAGAUUUCUCUACUCCCAAGCUCCAAAAAAGGUAUACAUUGGAUGGGCUAGAUCAACUCCUCCUGAGAGCCAUAAAUCCGCCAAGAGUUGUUUUCCAUGUAAGGGUGUGGUACAAUGGGGAACACCUGAUGUUGGAGGAAAGCAGGAGGACUUUAGAGUGGAGUUGCAUUCUAAUCUCUCUGCCGCUUCAACUAUGUGACCUGGGGCAAAUGAUAUAAACUCUAUGAGCCUCUUUCCUUAUCUUUAAAAUGAAGAGAAGUAAUACCUACCUUGUAGGGCUGUUGUGAGGAUUAAAUGAAGUAAUGCAUACAGUGCCUAACAAAGUAUUUAACAUCAUAUUUUUUAAAAGCUCAUGAAAUAUUAGUUUUUCUUCCUUCCCCUCUUUCUAUUUUCUCUCCUGUUCCCUUUUCUCUCCCUCCUCUGCCCUCUCCUUCCUUCAGAUGUUAGUCUAAAACAGCACCUUGGAUCUAAGCAGCACCUUUGAGAAAGAAAAGACUGCUUCAAGAAUGUCUAGUUGCACCUCCUUUCCGUAUGUGGCCUAAAUGCCUAGGUUGGAUCAAUAGUUUAAUUUUUUUAUUGAACUGUUUAAUAUUGACUAUGGACUUACAUUCACUUUUACUGUUUUCUGUAUAUUUACUUUUGCUUGAAGUGUUUUAAUAUUGACUAUUUACCUCUGCUCAUUUUUAUUGAUUUUCUGUAUUUUUUCAAUGAAAAUUAUAAUAAAAAUUAUUUUUGUUA